This 451-nucleotide long non-coding RNA is filed under the name Elaeis guineensis (African oil palm). Its description in RNAcentral is "long non-coding RNA (EGUI_LNC032180)". The record is from RNAcentral. Lineage: Eukaryota; Viridiplantae; Streptophyta; Magnoliopsida; Arecales; Arecaceae.
UUGUAGGACUCCUAGACAACAUGCUCAAGCUAGUUGGAAAAUCUUCACCAUGACAAGUCCAUCUCUUGUAAGUCACAUCUAUACCAUGUUCGUAUAAAUAAUUUUGAAUAUCUGAUAGGGUACACCAAAAUAAAUUUCUACAUCGACGAUAUGGACAACGAGCUUUCCUAUCUUCUCUAAUAUGAUUGGAUGCCACAUUCAUAAAAGAUGUCACACCCGCAAUAUACUCUGGAUAAAAUUUAUCAUGCAAUGACAUCCAACCAUGAUCUAUGCCUACAUAUUUAUGAUGCAAACUAUAAAAUCAAUUUAAUAUAAUAAUAGUUGACUAACACCUUAUAUCCCCUACCUACAGGGUAAUGGUCCUAUCCCAUUCAGAAAUAUAGGAAUUUAAUAUUGCAAUACAUGUCUUCUAUAACAAAAAAAUUUUGAUAGCAUUUUGGUGUAGUUCUCC